GCGGGGAUAGCUCAGCUGGGAGAGCGUCAGACUGAAGUCCACUUCAAUUCUCUAAAUCUGAAGGCCGUGCGUUCGAUCCGCACUCACCGCA
This is a non-coding RNA of Daldinia decipiens, 91 nucleotides long. NCBI's taxonomy places the organism in Eukaryota, Fungi, Ascomycota, Sordariomycetes, Xylariales, Hypoxylaceae. The record is from the annotation of a RefSeq genome assembly.